CCUACGGGAGGCAGCAGUAGGGAAUCUUCCGCAAUGGACGAAAGUCUGACGGAGCAACGCCGCGUGAGCGAUGAAGGCCUUCGGGUCGUAAAGCUCUGUUGUCAGGGAAGAACAAGUAUCGGAGUAACUGCCGGUACCUUGACGGUACCUGACCAGAAAGCCACGGCUAACUACGUGCCAGCAGCCGCGGUAAUACGUAGGUGGCAAGCGUUGUCCGGAAUUAUUGGGCGUAAAGCGCGCGCAGGCGGUUCCUUAAGUCUGAUGUGAAAGCCCCCGGCUCAACCGGGGAGGGUCAUUGGAAACUGGGGAACUUGAGUGCAGAAGAGGAGAGCGGAAUUCCACGUGUAGCGGUGAAAUGCGUAGAGAUGUGGAGGAACACCAGUGGCGAAGGCGGCUCUCUGGUCUGUAACUGACGCUGAGGCGCGAAAGCGUGGGGAGCGAACAGGAUUAGAUACCCUGGUAGUCCACGCCGUAAACGAUGAGUGCUAAGUGUUAGAGGGUUUCCGCCCUUUAGUGCUGCAGCAAACGCAUUAAGCACUCCGCCUAGGGAGUACGGCCGCAAGGCUGAAACUCAAAGGAAUUGACGG
RNAcentral lists this ribosomal RNA (587 nucleotides) under uncultured bacterium. RNAcentral's name for it is "bacterial SSU rRNA". It matches the Rfam family "Bacterial small subunit ribosomal RNA", at positions 338 to 916 of the family's 1533-position model. The record is from RNAcentral.